Molecule: ribosomal RNA, 305 nt
Filed under: uncultured bacterium
Lineage: Bacteria
Description: bacterial SSU rRNA
Rfam family: Bacterial small subunit ribosomal RNA
Source: RNAcentral
CAUGCCUACGGGAGGCAGCAGUGGGGGAUAUUGCACAAUGGGGGAAACCCUGAUGCAGCGACGCCGCGUGGGUGACGAAGUAUUUCGGUAUGUAAAGCCCUAUCAGCAGGGAAGAAGAUGACAGUACCUGACUAAGAAGCCCCGGCUAACUACGUGCCAGCAGCCGCGGUAAUACGUAGGGGGCAAGCGUUAUCCGGAUUUACUGGGUGUAAAGGGAGCGCAGGCGGCGUGGCAAGUCAGAUGUGAAAACCCGGGGCCCAACCCCGGGAGUGCAUUUGAAACUGCCAUGCUGGAGUGCCGGAGAG